ACAAGUAAAUAGUGAAAAGUAAAUAGUGUAAUUGUAGUAUGUCCACUCGCCCAGACGUCCAAGAACCAGCGACCGACGGGGCGUCAACGUCUCGAAGCCACCCCAUAGUACCUGCUUCUGAGCUACGUCCGUCCCGCACAGA
Molecule: long non-coding RNA, 142 nt
Organism: Helicoverpa zea (corn earworm)
Lineage: Eukaryota; Metazoa; Arthropoda; Insecta; Lepidoptera; Noctuidae
Exons: 2
Source: RefSeq, a predicted model, not a curated record